AAACUGCGAUAAGUAGUGUGAAUUGCAUUUAGUGAAUCAUCUAAUCUUUGAACGCACCCUGCACUCACUGGUAUUCCGGUGAGUACGCCUGUUUCAGUAUCAUUGAAAACACACAAUCAAAACAUUUUCUUUGGUUUGAUUGGCUUUGGGUCUAUCAAAAAGUUUGGCUUGUUUCUUACAAGCCAAGCGGCCUGAAAUAUAUUUUCUGGCUAAUUGCAUCGUUGAUGAUCGCUAUUAGACUUUGGCUUUUUUAAAUGAACUGGAGGUUGAUUAACCAGUUUUAGCUUUAGUCAAAUGGUCAUUGUAAAAAAAAUCUCGAUCUUGGCUAGGUGUUUAUAGCCGAAAAUUUUUUUUUGGCUAUAACCGAAACCAAUAUAAUCACAUUUAGUUAUCGAUCUGAAAUCAGGUGGGACUACCCGCUGAACUUAAGC
Molecule: unclassified non-coding RNA, 431 nt
Filed under: plant metagenome
Description: partial contains 5.8S ribosomal RNA, internal transcribed spacer 2, and large subunit ribosomal RNA
Rfam family: 5.8S ribosomal RNA (bases 1-102)
Source: RNAcentral